Molecule: ribosomal RNA, 194 nt
Filed under: Bhargavaea ginsengi
Lineage: Bacteria; Bacillati; Bacillota; Bacilli; Caryophanales; Caryophanaceae
Description: partial 16S rRNA. Bacterial SSU
Rfam family: Bacterial small subunit ribosomal RNA
Source: RNAcentral
UCUUUAUGGAGAGUUUGAUCCUGGCUCAGGACGAACGCUGGCGGCGUGCCUAAUACAUGCAAGUCGAGCGGAUGAAGGAGAGCUUGCUCUCCGGAUUCAGCGGCGGACGGGUGAGUAACACGUGGGCAACCUGCCUGUAAGAUCGGGAUAACUCCGGGAAACCGGGGCUAAUACCGGAUGGUUCCUUCCUCCGC